Molecule: long non-coding RNA, 204 nt
Filed under: Lathyrus oleraceus (garden pea)
Lineage: Eukaryota; Viridiplantae; Streptophyta; Magnoliopsida; Fabales; Fabaceae
Description: Pisum sativum (pea) long non-coding RNA (PSAT_LNC037987)
Source: RNAcentral
AAGUUGGGUGAUAAAUCCGUUCAAAAGGUAGUAGAACCAGAGGAAGGGUGCUUGAACUAAUAGAGGGGUGACUCUGAAGGAUAAGGUUUUUGGAUUUUUUAUUAACUAAUAGAAAUCCUGCUCCGACGUAUCUUUGAGUGCAAUGGAGAACUUACGACUUACAUAGUUCUGGGUAGAAAAUGUUUAUUUGUUAGUCGAUUUUAG